RNAcentral lists this ribosomal RNA (781 nucleotides) under uncultured bacterium. Its description in RNAcentral is "bacterial SSU rRNA". It matches the Rfam family "Bacterial small subunit ribosomal RNA", at positions 8 to 796 of the family's 1533-position model. The record is from RNAcentral.
AGAGUUUGAUCAUGGCUCAGAACGAACGCUGGCGGCGUUAACACAUGCAAGUCGAGUGCGCGCCUGUAGCAAUACAGGUGGCGCACGGGACGGGUGCGUAACACGUGGAUAAUCUGCCCUCUGAUGGGGAAUAACUCGCCGAAAGGGANNUAAUUCCGCAUAAUAUUCCGAGAACUUCGGUUUUUGGACUGAAAGGCGUAAGUCGUCGGAGGAGGAGUCCGCGCACGAUUAGCUAGUUGGUAGGGUAAUGGCCUACCAAGGCUUUGAUCGUUAGCUGGUCUGAGAGGAUGGCCAGCCACACUGGAACUGAGACACGGUCCAGACUCCUACGGGAGGCAGCAGUGGGGAAUCUUGCACAAUGGGCGAAAGCCUGAUGCAGCGACGCCGCGUGGGGGAUGAAGCAUUUCGGUGUGUAAACCCCUUUCGAUCCGGACGAAAACCUCGCAAGAGGAUUGACGGUACGGAUAUAAGAAGCCCCGGCUAACUACGUGCCAGCAGCCGCGGUAAGACGUAGGGGGCCAGCGUUGUUCGGAAUUACUGGGUGUAAAAGGGUUCGUAGGCGGUGCGGCAAGUUGGGAGUGAAAUCUCUGGGCUCAACCCAGAGGCUGCUUCCAAAACUGCUGUGCUUGAGUGUGAGAGAGGCUCGUGGAAUUGCAGGUGUAGCGGUGAAAUGCGUAGAUAUCUGCAGGAACACCCGUGGCGAAAGCGGCGAGCUGGAUCACUACUGACGCUGAGGAACGAAAGCUAGGGGAGCAAACAGGAUUAGAUACCCUAGUAGUCC